AUUGAACGCUGGCGGCAGGCCUAACACAUGCAAGUCGAGCGGAUGAAGGGAGCUUGCUCCUGCUUUCAGCGGCGGACGGGUGAGUAAUGCCUAGGAAUCUGCCUGGUAGUGGGGGAUAACGUCCGGAAAUGGGCGCUAAUACCGCAUACGUCCUGAGGGAGAAAGUGGGGGAUCUUCGGACCUCACGCUCUCAGCUGAGCCUAGGUCGGAUUAGCUAGUUGGUGGGGUAAAGGCCUACCAAGGCGACGAUCCGUAACUGGUCUGAGAGGAUGAUCAGUCACACUGGAACUGAGACACGGUCCAGACUCCUACGGGAGGCAGCAGUGGGGAAUAUUGGACAAUGGGCGAAAGCCUGAUCCAGCCAUGCCGCGUGGGUGAAGAAGGUCUUCGGAUUGUAAAGCACUUUUAGUGGGAAAGAAGAGCAGUAAGUUAAUACCUUGCUGUUUUGACGUUACCAAAAGAAUAAGCACCGGCUAACUUCGUG
Molecule: ribosomal RNA, 484 nt
Filed under: uncultured bacterium
Lineage: Bacteria
Description: partial 16S ribosomal RNA
Rfam family: Bacterial small subunit ribosomal RNA
Source: RNAcentral